GACGAACGCUGGCGGCGUGCUUAACACAUGCAAGUCGAACGGAAAGGCCCUGCUUUUGUGGGGUGCUCGAGUGGCGAACGGGUGAGUAACACGUGAGUAACCUGCCCUUGACUUUGGGAUAACUUCAGGAAACUGGGGCUAAUACCGGAUAGGAGCUCCUGCUGCAAGGUGGGGGUUGGAAAGUUUCGGCGGUUGGGGAUGGACUCGCGGCUUAUCAGCGUGUUGGUGGGGUAGUGGCUUACCAAGGCUUUGACGGGUAGCCGGCCUGAGAGGGUGACCGGCCACAUUGGGCCUGAGAUACGGCCCAGACUCCUACGUGAGGCAGCAGUGGGGAAUAGUGCACAAUGGGCGGAGGCCUGAUGCAGCAACGCCGCGUGCGGGAUGACGGCCUUCGGGUUGUAAACCGCUUUCGCCUGUGACGAAGCGUGAGUGACGGUAAUGGGUAAAGAAGCACCGGCUAACUACGUG
RNAcentral lists this ribosomal RNA (468 nucleotides) under uncultured bacterium. RNAcentral describes it as "partial 16S ribosomal RNA". It matches the Rfam family "Bacterial small subunit ribosomal RNA", at positions 28 to 507 of the family's 1533-position model. The record is from RNAcentral.